RNAcentral lists this transfer RNA (83 nucleotides) under Pseudoroseomonas ludipueritiae. Its description in RNAcentral is "tRNA-Leu". It matches the Rfam family "tRNA". Rfam says of the family: Transfer RNA (tRNA) molecules are approximately 80 nucleotides in length. Lineage: Bacteria; Pseudomonadati; Pseudomonadota; Alphaproteobacteria; Acetobacterales; Acetobacteraceae. RNAcentral also lists the same sequence under 2 other names. The record is from RNAcentral.
GCGGACGUGGCGGAACGGUAGACGCAGCAGACUUAAAAUCUGGUUCCCUCAGGGGAGUGCGGGUUCGAAUCCCGCCGUCCGCA